GCCUCGGUGUGCUACAGCCUCGGUGUGCUACAGACUCUACAGCCUCUGUGUGCUACAGCCUCUACAGCCUGUGUGCUACAGCCUCGGUGUGCUACAGACUCUACAUCCUCUUUGUGCUACAGCCUCUACAGCCUCUACAUCCUCUGUGUGCUACAGCCUCUACAUCCUCUGUGUGCUACAGCCUCUACAUCCUCUGUCCUCUACAGCCUCUGUGCGCUACAGCCUUGGUGUGCAUGUGUGUCAUCUCAGACACCAGCUAGCAGCCUGCCCUACAUGGAGCAGAGUCUCUCUCUGUCUCUCUGUCUCUCACCCUCUGUCUCUUUCUUCUAGUAAAUAUGACCUAUAAUUACAAUAUGUUUAAUUAUGUUAGGAAGUAGCUUUUUUGUGUUUGAAUGGUGUGGGCAUUCCCCAGCAACAGAAAGGUGUGGGCGUAUACUGGUCAUUAAAGUAGACCACUGAUUGGCCAGCUCGGCCAGAAUCCACAACAUUAUUUGGGUAUGAGUUAACAGAAUAUGAACUUUUAAAAGUGAGAUUUUCACUGGAAAGAUGCUUUAAAUUGGUGCCCUGGAAUCCAAAUGGAUAUGAUCCCUUUCACCAUAGUAAAUGUUGAAACGGAGAAUCUGUUUGGAGUCGAGGCUAUUAAGUUGGAGUCUUAUGCUGUGGAAAACAUCAAUGAUCCCAACACCUUCCUCCUGCUCCUCCCAUCAUCUCAUCAGUAUGUUGGAGAGUCUGGGCAAAGGUCUAUUCUUUUUGGGGAAAUGGUAUUAAAGUAUUUGUUAGAUUUAUGUAAAGAUUUAGGCUAUAGAUUACCACAAAAUCUUCCCCAAAAACAUCUUGGUGUAAAAUUGUAAGAUUAUAUAGUUGCCUCAAUAGUCUGGUGAAAAACAAUCAAACACAACUCAACAUCAGUCUGAGACACAAACCGGCUCCUUUUAUACUUAAUGUAGUUCUACUUCUAUAAAAUACACUGUCCAUGUAAUAUCUACCCAUAUUCUUGGAAUGAUGUUUAUUUACGUCCUUCAAAGAGUCCUGAAUGUUUUAAUAUGUUGCCAAGGUAGUGACUGAGAGAACCUGCGCCAGGUAUUUCAAGUCCGUUUCAACAGAAUGAUUUCCAUCCCAGCCGUAGUGACUCGGGAUCAGUGACGCAGUGGGUCAGGAUCGGGUAGAUCCAGAGACAUGUCUGUCUCUCAGGAUGUCGGUGGCAUAAUGACUUGACUAGCUGGGUCCUACAGGGGUCGUUCACUGAGCAGGUAGAUUGAGGUGAGUUCAGUUAAAUAGAAACAGACCCGACUGUCUUUUUUCUCUCAGGAUGUGAGUAGAGAUGUAAUAAUGAGGAACAGGGAUAUACAGGUGUUUGAGCUGGAGGGACCAGAGCAUGUUCUAACAGAUAAGAGACCGAUUCAGCAGUGAGUCAGGCCAGAUACAGGUGGAUCUACAUGGACCUGACUGUUUCAGGAUGUGGGUAGACUGCCUGCAUAUUGAGUAAAUAGGUUCUACAGGUGGUUGAGCACAAAGGAGGAGGGGUCAGUCACAGCAGAUUAAAAGGGACAGGUGUGUCAUUGAUGCUAGCUGUCAGAUACGGGCUGAAGGGAAGGCUGGAUCCUAGGAGUUUGUCUGACUAAUCAUUCCUCCACAUGCUCAGGCCUGAAUUUGUUUGUGUUGAAAGUAAGGAGUAGGUUAUAUUGAACCAGUUAUUUGGGUCUACAGUGAACAGACUAGCCUAGUGCUGUUUUCCUGGUAAAGAAAUGGUUAAAAGGACCACCAAUGAAAACUCUUUCAAUAAGUAAGACACAAUUUUGUGUCAAAUUAGGGCUGAUGAAAACAACCUCUAAACCGGCGAUUCAUUUAGCCUAACCCAGGGAUGUCUUUGUAAAGGUAGUUGUUACCCACUCCGUCCCGUGUGCCCAAUCUCUCACUGGCCUCAUUCAGGGCUGUAUUAAAACCAAACCAUUGUACAGCGUGUGUGUGUGUGUGUGUGUGUGUGUGUGUGUGUCUGUGUGUGUGUGUGUGUGUGUGUGUGUGUGUGUGUGUGUGUGUGUGUGUGUGUGUGUGUGUGUGUGUGUGUGUGUCUGUGUCCCCACAGUAAAUAGGCCGUUAAAGUGCAGUUUUCAUACAAGGCUGGUCUCCAAGAGGAUGAAUCACUGUCUCCUCCCUCCCUCACUCAUUCUCUCCCUCUCUUCUCGGUGCCCAUUCUCUGCUCUCAUCCCCCUCUUCUCUGAGGUUGAAUUAAGGAAACAGAUAGAAAGCUCUCUUUCCUUGUCCAUGUCUCCGUGUCAAUUACUGAAUUAUCUGCGCUGUGCCCCCUCUCACUUUCACUUGGUCUCUCUCUCACUCUUUCCCUCAUGUAUCUCUCCCUCUUUCCCUUUCUCUCUUUCUUGCUCUCUCCCUCAGUCCCUCGCUCUCUCUUGAUCAUGCUGUAUCCAUCUAUAAAUAGUUCUCAUGUGGGAUGGGGGUGUUUGCAGCCGUCUCGUGAUUUACAUUUCAUUUUCACCUCUGGAUUAUUUAUUUACCUCCCAUGAACCUGGCUCCCACUCUCCUCUCUGUCUUUCUCUUCCUCUCUGCUCCUCUCUGCCUUUCUCUUUCUCUCUGCUCCUCUCCUCUCUGCCUUUCUCUUCCUCUCUGCUCCUCUCUGCCUUUCUCUUCCUCUCUGCUCCUCUCUGCCUUUCUCUUCCUCUCUGCUCCUCUCUG
Oncorhynchus tshawytscha (Chinook salmon) is the source of this 2688-nucleotide long non-coding RNA. The record is from Ensembl. NCBI's taxonomy places the organism in Eukaryota, Metazoa, Chordata, Actinopteri, Salmoniformes, Salmonidae.